This 548-nucleotide ribosomal RNA is filed under the name Klebsiella sp. 1133(2011). RNAcentral's name for it is "bacterial SSU rRNA". It matches the Rfam family "Bacterial small subunit ribosomal RNA", at positions 56 to 596 of the family's 1533-position model. The record is from RNAcentral. Lineage: Bacteria; Pseudomonadati; Pseudomonadota; Gammaproteobacteria; Enterobacterales; Enterobacteriaceae.
UGCAGUCGAGCGGUAGCACAGAGAGCUUGCUCUCGGGUGACGAGCGGCGGACGGGUGAGUAAUGUCUGGGAAACUGCCUGAUGGAGGGGGAUAACUACUGGAAACGGUAGCUAAUACCGCAUAAUGUCGCAAGACCAAAGUGGGGGACCUUCGGGCCUCAUGCCAUCAGAUGUGCCCAGAUGGGAUUAGCUAGUAGGUGGGGUAACGGCUCACCUAGGCGACGAUCCCUAGCUGGUCUGAGAGGAUGACCAGCCACACUGGAACUGAGACACGGUCCAGACUCCUACGGGAGGCAGCAGUGGGGAAUAUUGCACAAUGGGCGCAAGCCUGAUGCAGCCAUGCCGCGUGUGUGAAGAAGGCCUUCGGGUUGUAAAGCACUUUCAGCGGGGAGGAAGGCGUUAAGGUUAAUAACCUUGUCGAUUGACGUUACCCGCAGAAGAAGCACCGGCUAACUCCGUGCCAGCAGCCGCGGUAAUACGGAGGGUGCAAGCGUUAAUCGGAAUUACUGGGCGUAAAGCGCACGCAGGCGGUCUGUCAAGUCGGAUGUG